AAUAUAUUGGCAGAAUAAAUGCAUUAG
Molecule: transfer RNA, 27 nt
Filed under: Paratrochosina amica
Lineage: Eukaryota; Metazoa; Arthropoda; Arachnida; Araneae; Lycosidae
Description: partial tRNA-Leu
Source: RNAcentral